This 499-nucleotide ribosomal RNA is filed under the name uncultured bacterium. Its description in RNAcentral is "partial 16S ribosomal RNA". It matches the Rfam family "Bacterial small subunit ribosomal RNA", at positions 30 to 523 of the family's 1533-position model. The record is from RNAcentral.
AUUGAACGCUGGCGGCAUGCCUUACACAUGCAAGUCGAACGGUAACAGGUCUUCGGAUGCUGACGAGUGGCGAACGGGUGAGUAAUACAUCGGAACGUGCCUAGUAGUGGGGGAUAACUACUCGAAAGAGUGGCUAAUACCGCAUGAGAUCUACGGAUGAAAGCAGGGGAUCGCAAGACCUUGUGCUACUAGAGCGGCCGAUGGCAGAUUAGGUGAGUUGGUGGGAUAAAAGCUUACCAAGCCGACGAUCUGUAGCUGGUCUGAGAGGACGAUCAGCAACACUGGGACGGAGCCCCGGCCCAGACCCCUACGGGAGGCAGCAGUGGGGUAUUUUGUACAUGGGGCGCAACCCUGAUCCAGCAAUGCCGCUUGCAGAAUAAGGGCUUUCGUGUUGUAAACUGCUUUUUUAAGGAACAAAACGCCCUGGGUUAACCCCCUGGGGUCAUGACGUACCCGUAAGAAUAAGCCCCGGCUAACUCCGGGCCAGCCCCCUCCAUAA